This is a long non-coding RNA of Chinchilla lanigera (long-tailed chinchilla), 585 nucleotides long. RefSeq lists it as uncharacterized. The transcript is spliced from 3 exons. NCBI's taxonomy places the organism in Eukaryota, Metazoa, Chordata, Mammalia, Rodentia, Chinchillidae. The record is from RefSeq and is a predicted model, not a curated record.
UCUGGCAUAGUUUUCAGUACUCACCAGCUUUUCUGCCGGGGUAAAAGACCUGACAUAAACAACUUCAAGGAAGACAGAUGCACUUGGUUCAUGGAUUUAGUACAGACAGAUAAGUUAGAUAGAAAUCAAUAGAUAGUCAGAGAGCCCUUGAGGUGAUCAGUGCGGAAGAGACAGACACAGGAAAAUUUGUGGCUGGAAAUGAAUCUGAAGAGGGCCUGGCCUCGAGGUGGAGGGUUUUGAGUAGUCUAAUGGAAGCAAAAAUAUUUAUGGAAAUUGGAAUCCUGACCACAAAUCAGGACUGACCCUGUAAUAUAACAAAGAAAAGUAUUGCACAGUGGUAUCUCAGUUCACCAACUUCAUUCAUUCUAUGAUUCUGGAAGUGAUAACCAAGCUCCUGUUCAUGUGGGAAAGAUGUCGGAGUCGCUCCCAUCACUGGUUGCAGAGUUUGCAAACAAAAACAAAGUUUUGCCAUACGCUUCUGUUUUCAAACCAAAUUGUUUAUGAGGCACAAUGAAUGUUUUGGCUAAUGUACUUAUUGGAAUGGAAUCAACUCAGAGUAAUUAUUAAAUGAAACACAGAAAGUUA